GUGGCAAGCGUUAUCCGGAUUUACUGGGUGUAAAGGGAGCGUAGGCGGGGAUGCAAGUUGGGUGUUAAAUCUACCGGCUCAACUGGGAGUCGCACUCAAAACUGCAGCUCUUGAGUGAAGUAGAGGCAGGCGGAAUUCCUAGUGUAGCGGUGAAAUGCGUAGAUAUUAGGAGGAACACCAGUGGCGAAGGCGGCCUGCUGGGCUUUUACUGACGCUGAGGCUCGAAAGUGUGGGGAGCAAAC
This 242-nucleotide ribosomal RNA is filed under the name uncultured bacterium. RNAcentral describes it as "partial 16S ribosomal RNA". It matches the Rfam family "Bacterial small subunit ribosomal RNA", at positions 531 to 773 of the family's 1533-position model. The record is from RNAcentral.